This 75-nucleotide transfer RNA is filed under the name Candidatus Carsonella ruddii CS isolate Thao2000. RNAcentral describes it as "tRNA-Arg (TCT) (tRNA-Arg-TCT-1-1)". It matches the Rfam family "tRNA". Rfam says of the family: Transfer RNA (tRNA) molecules are approximately 80 nucleotides in length. Lineage: Bacteria; Pseudomonadati; Pseudomonadota; Gammaproteobacteria; Oceanospirillales; Halomonadaceae. The record is from RNAcentral.
GCGUUUAUAGCUCAAUUAGGAUAGAGCAAUGAUCUUCUAAGUCAUAGGUUGUAAGUUCAAAUCUUACUAAACGUA